UUCUCAUAACAGGUAUAUGUAGGUAUUAUUAUUCCUGAUUUACAAAUGAGAAAAGCUGAGGCUUAGAAAAGCCUUGCAGGAGCUUAGGUCAGGAACUUCCCUUUCAGAUUUGCCAUUUAUAUGACUUGGCCAAAGGUGAUGAUUUUAUUGCUGUUGAGAGGUGGACCAAUUGCUUGGGAAAUCUGGGCCUCAGUUCUCCACUGUGCUUUGGGUGUGGACACCUGCCUUCUGGAAAAGAGCCUCUUUUUCAUCCAUUGCUUUGACUACCCUCUCCCAUCCUGAGAUCCCCCACCCUGUUUUCAGAUUCUAGUGGCUUCUGUAUUAUGUCUAGACUCCAUUUUGGCUCCAACUCCUCCUUCUCUGGGUGUUCAGUCUGCCUUCUCUCUUCUUCCAUCCUCAACUCUGGGAUUUCAAAGUCUGAGCUUCUCUUCUGCAAUAUGCAAGUGUCUUCGGGGCAGCAGAGAUUGCCAUGGCUGAGUACCUUCGUGUCCUGGCACCCAACACAGUGCCUGGUAGAUGGCAGGCUCUUCACAAGUGAUGUAAUGGACUCAUGUGGUCAGUAAAACAUGCCCUUUUUAUAAACUCCCUCCCCACGAAACCCAAGCUGUCUCUUUGUUUUUGCUGAAAUAUUAAACAAUUUGGGAGCUGAGAGUGCAAUAAAAACUCAAAAAAGUUACCAAAGUUAGCUCAAUUAUAAGUCCUAGAUCUAAUAUACACAAAUUUAUUCUUAAAACUUUUCUUUUUUUCCCUCUUUUUGGGGGUAUUUUUUUAUUGAAAUAUAGUAAACAUACACUGUUAUAUUGUUUUUAGGUGUCCACUAUACUCGUUUGACAAUCCUACGCAUUAUCCAGUGCAGUGUUGUCACCAUCUGUCAUCAUAAAGCAAUAUUACAAUAUUAUUGACUAUAUUCUCUAUGCUGUCCUUUUCAUUUCUGUGUCUUACUUAUUUUAUAACUGGAAGUUUGUACCUUUUAACCCCUUCACCCGUUUCACCCAUUCCCUGACCCACCUCCCUCUGGCAACCAUGUUUGUUCUCUGUAUUUAAGAGUCCGUUUGUUUUGUUUGUUUGUUUAUUUUGUUUUUUAGAUUCCCCAUAAUGAAAUCUAUUAAUCUUAAUAUGAAUGAAAUCUUAUUAAUCUUAAAACUUCUAAAACUAUUUUUUUUUAAUUUUGUUUACUGUUUAUUUUUGAGAGAGAGAGAGAGAGACAUAGAGCACGAGCAGGGGAGGGGAGAGAAAGGGAGACACAGAGUCCGAAGCAGGCUCCGGGCUCCAACCUGUCCGCACAGAGCCCCACAUGGGGCUCAAACUCAGGAACCGUGAGAUCAUGCCCUGAGCCAAAGUCAGAUGCCCAACCGAGUCACCCAGGUGCCCCUAAAACUAUUUUAUUAUAUAAAAAGGUGGCUUUUACUUACAACAUUGUUAGAAAAGUAGUUUUAUACUUUCAAAUGCAAAUUACUAUUUUCAAAAUUAAAAAAAAUUGAGUUGGGAAUAUAUAGUACAAAACUCAAAAGGUUAAAAAUGACACUUAGUGAAAUGUAAGUUCUUCUCCUCCCUUUUUUUUUUCCAGAUCCCCUGUUCUCUUCUAAGAGUCAACAACUGUUAUUAGCUUCUUGUGUUUUCCUUAAGAGGUGAUCUACAAAGAACUAAUUACUAAGAAUUUGUAAGGUCAUUUUGGUCUCAAUAUCCUGGUCUUGGAUUGUAAAGUUGUCUAAACUGGUUUUUAGAAUGAUAGUUGAGGUCAAAUGACAUCAGCAAUAGUCUUUUUCAUGAUGCAAAAAUCCUUUGCACUCAUUAGAGAAACUUAAACUUGGGUAAGAUGUGGAAGGGAAGGGGAGAGACGAAGGGGUAGUUAAAGCCACUUGUAAUUAAUGGGGAGUUCCGGUAACAUGUCCCUUUCCUCUAUGGAAAUGGUGCAAGAUAUUGAAUUUAAAGUCAGAAAGGGUACCAGUUUGGGGGAAAUGUUCAGAGAACACACACUUUGCAAAUAGCUCUAUGAAAAUAACUUACUUAAGGAUAAGAUGCGAAUUAUCUCAAGAUUCCUAAGUUCUUAUGAACAUUGUAUUUACCAUGACUACAAGUGUAUUAUUAAUGCAUGAAAUUAUUGCUGGUUCAUACAUAUAUUGGCUAAGAAUGAACUUGGGCAAAGUGUCUAAAAGCAAGAACAGAAAAGUGGUUCAUAAUACUCACCAUAAGAAAAUGUUGAAUGGAUCCUGGCCAUUGUUUAGAAGAAGUUCAAGACGGUAUAAGCAGCUAUAUUAAUGAAUUUUUAAGUAUUUUUUUUCUCUGAGAAGGUCAAUGGCUAUGGCUAGAACUGCCCUGUUGAUGGCCAAGGAUGCAUAUGAGAUAGAGAGAAAACUGCACAUUUACCCCUGACGGGGGAGGGGAAAGGAUGCCAGGGUGGUUUUUGUUUGUUUGUUUGUUCGUUUGUUUGAGAGAGAGCAAGUGGGGGAAGGGCAGAGAGAGAUGGAGUGAGAGGGAAGCCAAAGCAGGCUUCUCACCAAUCGCACAGAGCCUGAUGUGGGGCUUGAACCCACGAACCGUGAAAUCAUGACCUGAGCCGAAACCAGGAAUUUGACACUUAACCAGUUAAGCCGCCCAGGUGCCCCUGUGGGAUGCCAGAGUGUUCUUAUGAGCCAAGAGGACUUGUGGAAGGAUCUGGCCUUAGGGUCGUUGUAAAACACUUAUCUUUGAAGGCUUCUUGCCAAAGGACAAAGGCCAUCAGCAAAAAGAGGCUGGAAGGUAUCACUGGCUACAGAGGAUGAAGAUCGGAUGAGAAGCACUUGGCCAGAGACCAGAAUGGCCCCAGGGUCCCCAGGGAGUGACUUUGGUGAGGAUUCCGCAAAGUGCUGUUGAAGAGAAGGAAUCAUCACUGGGAAACUGCCUCACCCAGAAGAUGCAAACAUCGUUCUAUAUCUGCCUUUGAUGAAAAAGUUCUGGAGAUCUGUUUCACCAUAAUGUGACUCUACUUGACAUUUGCCAAACUAUACUUAAAAAUGGUUUAGAUGGUAAAUUUGAUGUUAUGUGUCUUUUAACCACCUUAAAAAAAAGAGUGAAAGAUGUAUGGGAUCCAAAACCUCAGUAAAGUUUUCACUUCAGGGGAGAUAAAGGUUGAAUCCACAAAUGUGGUUUGAAUGGGCCCUGGGAAAAAGAAUCGAGUUGUUUCCUGCUCGUAUCCUAUCUAUCAUGUCCCGCUAUUGUGAUAUAAUGGUUACCAGUUAACUAUAAACAAGGCCAGUGUUCAUUAUUAAGGACUUGUUAAAAGAAAAUUUUAAAGGAAAUUUCAUUUCUAGCUAUGACAUAUAGAUAUAAACAUUACGUAAGACUGUGUGUGUGUGUGUGUGUGUGUGUGUAUAGAGAAAUUUAUAUUUCUUUCUAUGUACAUGUAAAGUGACAGGACCAUUCUUGGGCAGUUGGAUCUGGUAUACUUCAAUGACUUAAGGUCAGAUUGACCCCAGUGAUAUCAUUAUACCUAUAGUUUAUGUUGCAUUAACAUUUUUUUUUAAGUUCAGAAAUAUCGCUCAAUCAUUUGCUCUAGACCGAAUGUUAUGUCUCCUUAAAAUUCCUAUGUUGAAACCUAACCCUCAAUGUUGUCUUUGGAGGUAGAACCUUGGCAGGUGCUUAGGACAUGAUGGGGGAACCCUCAUGAAUGGGAUUAGUGCCCUUAUGAAAGAGACCCCAGGGAGCUCCCUUCCCACUUCUGCCAUGUGAGGACACAGUGAGAAGACUGUGACCUGGAAGAGGGCCCUCAUCCAACCAUGCUGGCACCUUAGAUCUCAGAUGUCCAACCUCCAGAUCUGUGGGCAAUCAAUUUCUCUUGUGUUGAAGGCUCCCAGCCUGGGCUAACUUGUUCUCGCAGCCCAAAUGGGAUAAGACACCUAGCCUCGAAAGUCACACAGCACAGCCUCUACAAUGUUCCCCAUGUCAGCAUCAAGAUGCCUAGUCUAGUCACCUGCAAGGGAAGGGAAAUUAGACUCCACCUUUUGGAGGUGGCAGUGUCCAUGAAUCUGUAGAUGUAUUUAAAAGCCAUCAUGCGACAUGACUGGUUUUGCCAAUGAAAAGUGAAAUAUGUCGCUUCUGGAGGGAAACCUUUAAGAGCUGGUGUGUGAUUUUCCACAUUCUUGUCCCUUGCCAAUAUCGAGGGGACAUGUGUUGAUACGGAGGAAUAAAGCUGAGUCAUUGCAUGGGGGACAGCUGCCCUAGAAAGUAGCCCUGACAUUUCAAAGGAACUUGCAUGAGUGAGAAAUAAACCUUUGUUGUUUUGAACAACUGAGAUUUUGGAGUUACUGCAUCAUAACCCCAUCUAUCCUGACCAGUGUUCCUUCCCCAGCAUCCAAAUUUGCAAAAUGGGUUGUUCAAGGACAAUCCUGGAGACUAGAGUUCAUGAUUUAAAAAGAUAGACUGGGGGCACCUGGUGGAUCAGUCGGUUGGGCAUCUGACUUUGGAUCAGGUCAUGAUCUCAUACUUUGUGGGUUUGAGUCCUGUGUUUGGGCUCUGUGCUGAAGCUCAGAGCCUGGAGCCUCCUUCAGAUUCUGUAUAAUCUACUCUUUCCACCUCUCUCCCGCUUGUGCUCUCUCUCUCUCUCUCUCAAAAAUAAAUAAAUAAACAUUAAUGAAAAAAAAAAAAAAGAUAGACUGCAUUACCAGUGCUCCCGAUGCUCCCUUCACUAUGGAGCAGGGGUUGGCAAACUAUGGCCCAUAGACCAAAUCUAGUCCACUGUCUACUAUUGGAUAGCCAGUAAAUAAGAAUGGUUUUGGGGGCACCUGGGUAGCUCAGCUGGUUAAGCAACUGACUUCAGCUUAGGUCAUGAUCUCGUGGCUCACCGGUUCGAGCCCCCUGUCAGGCUCUGUGCGGACAGCUCAGAGCCUGAAGCCUGCUUUGGAUUCUGUGUCUCCCUCGCUCUCUGCCCCUCCCCUGCUUGUGCUCUGUCUCUGCCCCUCAAAAAUAAAUAAAAACAUUAAAAAAAUUUUUUAAAAGAAUGGUUUUUAUAUUUUUAAAUAGUUGAAAAAAAACCGAAGAUGAAGAAUAUUUCAUGACAUGUGAAAAUUAUAUGAAGUUCAAAUUCCUGUGUCCAUAAAGAUUUUUUUGGACCACAUCGUGCUCAUUCAUUUAAGUAUCACCGAUGGCCGUUUGUGCGUCACAGCAGUGUUGAGUUGGUGUAUGGCCUCCAAGGCCCAAAUUAUUUGCUAUCUUCUGGCCUUUUGCAGAGUUUGCUAACCUUGGCCUAGCAGACGAUAGUCUGGCAAAACACGGAAUUUGACGACUUUGAAAUGCGAUUCAAGAAAAUUGGACUGAAUAGGUUUGAGAAACACCCUAACUGACCAAUUUUCUUUGCAUAUAUAUUUUUAUUGGCUCAUGGGUGAUAUGGGCUAAAAAAAAAAAGUCUGAAGUUUAAAAGCUUCUUGAAUAAGUACACAAUGCAGUCCCUAAGAAAUAAGAAAUCAGGGUGACACAGUUUAAUUUGCAAUUGUUUCCCCCUCCUUACAAUCUGUAGUGUCCUAGACUCAAUGAUAUAUGAUAGCAUAAAUGACCCAAAGUGAAAGAAUUCUCUGGAAAUGUCUUUGAAAGGCUAAUUAUGAUUAACAGUCUGACUCAUCAGCUCUUUCUUCCAUUUAUUUACUCCACUCUUGGCAAGUGGCCAGCUAAACAUAAUCCAGCGGGCUGUGACUUCUUGCAGUUGCUUGGGUAUCCAGGUAGAGCAUUACGAUUGAGGAGUCUUCAAUCCUAGGGCGUUUUCUGAAUUGCACUCAGCCGUGUGGGAGACCUGGAACAGCAAGCCGCGGCAGGAGCGCCUUAGGCGCGUGCUGUUCCCAAUCUUGCUGAGAAAUGCUCGUCUCCACACCAAGAAGGUUAGUAACUGCUGCCAGAGAGGUCUGGGAUGAGUGUUUAUUUGUUUUCUGUCGUCUCCGUUGUCAGCACUUCUGAGAAUGGCAGCUGACGCGUCCUUACUUUAGAGAAUUCAGCCACUGGUUUCUGGUAAAAUAUAGGAAAACUAAAGAUCUAAGAUGAAAUAAAGGUGUUGUUUUUUGUUUUUUGUUCUUGUUUUUGUUUCUUGUUUUCUGGUUUUUUUGUUUGUUUUUGUUUUGUUUUGUUUUGUUUUUUGUUUGUUUGGGUUUUUUGUUGUUGUUUGUGUUUAAGACUCGCCUACACGGGCAAUGAAAUAUAGUCUGGAUUAAUCCUAAAUCCUUAUCUGGAGUUGUAGGGAUCAUAAAGACACAGAGCCUUCUUCCCGGUAACUGCACCUGUAAAUGGAUCCUCCACUACAGAGGUCUUGGCGGAAAAAGUCUAGAAAACACAUCUGUUACUGUCAAAAGCGCAAGUAACAAGAAUGAUCAAAUCUUGGGGACCCUGUGGACCAAGCGGGACCCAAGUGUGGGGUCUGACUUUGGGGGGAGGGAGGGAUCCGACUGCUUGAUUGUGUGAGUUUUUUGAAGUCAGGCUUAUGGAGGCAUAAUUUACAUACAGUAAAAUUCACCCCUUUUGGAUGUAGGUUCUGUGAGUCUUGACAAAAGUAGAGAGCUACGUGAUACCAAUACCCUCAAGACAGAGAACAGUUUCUUGGGGCGCCUGGGCAGCUCAGUUGGUUUAGCGUCUGACUUUGGCAGUUUGUGAGUCGGAGCCCUGCAUCGGGCUCUCUGCUCUCAGUGCCGGGCCAACUUCAGAUCCUGUCUCCCUCGGUCUCUGCCCCUUCCCCCUUGCUCUCUGUCUCUGUCAAAAUAAAUAAACUUUAAAAAAAAAAAAAGAGAAAGACAAAGAACAGUUUCUUCACCCCAGGAAGUUCCUUUUGGCCCCCUGGCAGUCAAUUCCCUCCUCUAACCCUGGCCCCCAGCCCAGAGCAACUACCAAUUUGUGUUUUGUUCCUCUCCUUUUUCCUUCUCUAGAAGGUCAUACAAUUGGCAUCAGAUAAAUGAAAUUAUACCAUUACCAGCUA
Long non-coding RNA from Neofelis nebulosa (Clouded leopard), 6928 nucleotides. RefSeq lists it as uncharacterized. NCBI's taxonomy places the organism in Eukaryota, Metazoa, Chordata, Mammalia, Carnivora, Felidae. The record is from RefSeq and is a predicted model, not a curated record. The transcript is spliced from 2 exons.